AGUGAAACCACAAUAAAAUCAACUCAUUCAAAAGUAAAAUCUCACUGCAACAAAACAUUCAAGCAUGAAGAUCUAUGGUCAUUGAUCAUAUCUUCCAUACAUGAAUACAGCAAGUUAUAACUAUGCGGUCCUUGGUAAGUAGAUACAUUGCACACAAAUUUGCUUCCAUUUCUCAUCUUGUUCGUUCACAUGAAACUAAAGCAGACGACUCCUUGGUAAGUAGAUACAUUGCACACAAAUUUGCUUCCAUUUCUCAUCUUGUUCGUUCACAUCAAACUAAAGCAGACGACUCCUUGGUAAGUAGAUACAUUGCACACAAAUUUGCUUCCAUUUCUCAUCUUGUUCGUUCACAUCAAACUAAAGCAGACGACAACCUUUAUCUGAUUACGAAGAAAAAGAAUUCACAUGUAUCAACAAUCAUGGCUAGUGAAAACUGCACGUCAGUGUACUGAGAUGCAGGCACCCAAUGGCGGGCAGUGUGGUACAGAGUUGAUCGUAUGGCAAGGUUAGAAGAUAUCCGUACGUCCGUAUAUUUCUACAAAAUGUCAAACCUGGCCAUGGCCAUUCUGCAGGGAAUCCUCAGCAAGGUCUAAUAUCUCUAUCUGAUUUAUGCAUUUGAUCUGAACCUGCUAGCAUCCAUCAUCGUUGUCAUGCCCCCGUGCCCUGCUAGUUACUAUUUUGCUACAUGACCUGCAAAUGGAAUCAGCCAAAUCUAAGAUAUCGUGGAAUGGAACACCAAACAUUUUUUCAAAAGAGCACAAAAUGCCAAAUUUUGGAUUCAAGGAAGAAAGGUCAAAUACAUGUCCAGCUCCUCUUCCUUUUUCUUGAUUUCAUGAGACCAAACUACAGGGUCAACAUUCUUGGGCAAGGACUCCUG
Molecule: long non-coding RNA, 877 nt
Filed under: Triticum aestivum (bread wheat)
Lineage: Eukaryota; Viridiplantae; Streptophyta; Magnoliopsida; Poales; Poaceae
Description: long non-coding RNA (TAES_LNC015268)
Source: RNAcentral